This 742-nucleotide ribosomal RNA is filed under the name uncultured bacterium. RNAcentral's name for it is "bacterial SSU rRNA". It matches the Rfam family "Bacterial small subunit ribosomal RNA", at positions 94 to 823 of the family's 1533-position model. The record is from RNAcentral.
AGCGGCGGACGGGUGAGUAACACGUGGGUAACCUGCCCAAGAGACUGGGAUAACACCUGGAAACAGAUGCUAAUACCGGAUAACAACACUAGACGUAUGUCUAGAGUUUGAAAGAUGGUUCUGCUAUCACUCUUGGAUGGACCUGCGGUGCAUUAGCUAGUUGGUAAGGUAACGGCUUACCAAGGCAAUGAUGCAUAGCCGAGUUGAGAGACUGAUCGGCCACAUUGGGACUGAGACACGGCCCAAACUCCUACGGGAGGCAGCAGUAGGGAAUCUUCCACAAUGGACGAAAGUCUGAUGGAGCAACGCCGCGUGAGUGAAGAAGGGUUUCGGCUCGUAAAGCUCUGUUGGUAGUGAAGAAAGAUAGAGGUAGUAACUGGCCUUUAUUUGACGGUAAUUACUUAGAAAGUCACGGCUAACUACGUGCCAGCAGCCGCGGUAAUACGUAGGUGGCAAGCGUUGUCCGGAUUUAUUGGGCGUAAAGCGAGUGCAGGCGGUUCAAUAAGUCUGAUGUGAAAGCCUUCGGCUCAACCGGAGAAUUGCAUCAGAAACUGUUGAACUUGAGUGCAGAAGAGGAGAGUGGAACUCCAUGUGUAGCGGUGGAAUGCGUAGAUAUAUGGAAGAACACCAGUGGCGAAGGCGGCUCUCUGGUCUGCAACUGACGCUGAGGCUCGAAAGCAUGGGUAGCGAACAGGAUUAGAUACCCUGGUAGUCCAUGCCGUAAACGAUGAGUGCUAAGUGU